Molecule: long non-coding RNA, 332 nt
Filed under: Capsicum annuum
Lineage: Eukaryota; Viridiplantae; Streptophyta; Magnoliopsida; Solanales; Solanaceae
Description: long non-coding RNA (CANN_LNC016741)
Source: RNAcentral
AAUAAUUAACUCUUUGCUCCUCAAAAUAGCUUCACACUUCACUGUAUGAUAUGUCUCUUUCGGGCAUUCUACUUCCUUCCUUGCUUACCCUUCGAAUUCUUUUGGCCGCUAAAGUUCCUGCAAACACAAGUAUAUAUAUAUAUUCAUCAACAAUUAGCCGUUUGCAUAGAGGAGAGCGGAAUAUAGGAACGAGAUCUGUGGUGUUUGUACGUACUUGUUGUUGGAUUUGUUGCCAGAUUUCGGGGAUUGGAACUUGUUGUUACCAUUGGCUGCUGCAGGUUUUCCAUUUUGCUUACCAAAAGGCGUUACUGGACCUUUCUUCUUACCAGCUG